GAUGAACGCUGGCGGCGUGCCUAAUACAUGCAAGUAGAACGCUGAAGGAGGAGCUUGCUCUUCUGGAUGAGUUGCGAACGGGUGAGUAACGCGUAGGUAACCUGCCUGGUAGCGGGGGAUAACUAUUGGAAACGAUAGCUAAUACCGCAUGACAACAGUUAUUGCAUGAUAACUGUUUAAAAGGGGCAACUGCUCCACUACCAGAUGGACCUGCGUUGUAUUAGCUAGUUGGUGAGGUAACGGCUCACCAAGGCGGCGAUACAUAGCCGACCUGAGAGGGGUGACGGCCCAACUGGGACUGGGACACGGCCCAGACCCCUUCGGGAAGCAGCCGGAGGGAAUCUUCGGCAAUUGAAGGAAAUCUGACCGGGCAACGCCGCGUGAGGGAAGAAGGUUUUCGGGUCCUAAAGCCUUGUUUUAAGAGAAGAACGAGUGUGAGAGUGGAAAGUUCACACUGUGACGGUAUCUUACCAGAAAGGGACGGCUAACUACGUG
Molecule: ribosomal RNA, 495 nt
Filed under: uncultured bacterium
Lineage: Bacteria
Description: partial 16S ribosomal RNA
Rfam family: Bacterial small subunit ribosomal RNA
Source: RNAcentral